This 61-nucleotide transfer RNA is filed under the name Pseudoniphargus triasi. RNAcentral's name for it is "tRNA-Met". The record is from RNAcentral. Lineage: Eukaryota; Metazoa; Arthropoda; Malacostraca; Amphipoda; Allocrangonyctidae.
UAAAAGAUAAGCUAAAAAAGCUAACGGGCUCAUAACCCGUCUAUGAAUUCCUCUCUUUUAU